RNAcentral lists this ribosomal RNA (253 nucleotides) under uncultured bacterium. RNAcentral describes it as "partial 16S ribosomal RNA". It matches the Rfam family "Bacterial small subunit ribosomal RNA", at positions 524 to 776 of the family's 1533-position model. The record is from RNAcentral.
UACGUAGGGUGCAAGCGUUAAUCGGAAUUACUGGGCGUAAAGCGUGCGCAGGCGGUGAUGUAAGACAGAUGUGAAAUCCCCGGGCUCAACCUGGGAACUGCAUUUGUGACUGCAUCGCUGGAGUGCGGCAGAGGGGGAUGGAAUUCCGCGUGUAGCAGUGAAAUGCGUAGAUAUGCGGAGGAACACCGAUGGCGAAGGCAAUCCCCUGGGCCUGCACUGACGCUCAUGCACGAAAGCGUGGGGAACAAACAGG